This is a regulatory RNA element of Zhouia amylolytica AD3, 34 nucleotides long. It matches the Rfam family "S16-Flavobacteria ribosomal protein leader". Lineage: Bacteria; Pseudomonadati; Bacteroidota; Flavobacteriia; Flavobacteriales; Flavobacteriaceae. The record is from Rfam.
ACUAAUAAUCGGGGUCGGGUACCCCAAAAUUAAU